GACAUUCACACUCUUUUGUGAUGGAAUGGACAGAUAAGAUGACGACACAGCUGCAUGCACUAUAUGGAUCAAUUAUUCCUGCAUGUACAAAUGAAUUUUUAUGUUACUAUAUCUUUUUUCAACUCAAAGAAGAAAACAAGUUCCACAAUAGUUAAAAGCACCAAAAGUAUAUUUGUUUUUAGUAUCAAUUACAACUAAACUCAAAAAAAUGUAAAAUAAUAAAUAGGAAAAUGUUCCAAUUCUCUCGAGACUUAAUUUCCAAUACCUUGUUAAUAUAAUUAAGAUUCAUGCUAGCUGGUAAUAAAUUCACAUAUAGCUACCCAACAAUAAUAAGCCAUAACAUUCACUUGCAGAAAACACUAAAUACCAAUCAGCACAAAUUCAUUCAAUAUAUAUAAAGACAAAGCAUUAGAUGAACCAUCAACACCAGCACCAUAACUAAAUUACGUGGUUACAUGAAUAAACCUUUCAAUUUUUUAUAACCACAAUACGUUAACAUCUGACAAAUUGUGUAUCAGUUUUCUAUCAACAGAAGCAAAACAUACGUGAAUAAGAAUAAAUUUUACAAUUUUAAAUCAAACAUAACAUGAUAAUAUUAGGUAGUUAUGUUAACCUAUGACAAUUAAAGAUUAUGUGAAAAGCUCAUAGUAAUCAAUCUAACAUUUUCCAGCAUGGGACAGUGACUUAAAGAGUAAUAUAUUAACCAAAUUUUAAAUACAAGAUAUGCAGAAAUGUUCAUUGUGCCGUGUCACAGAAGGUAGAGAGAUGAAGCUUUAUGUAGACUGACCUGGAGAGCCAAAACUCUUUAAAGCUUUCAAUAGCAUUAUCUGUCUAGCCAUAAUUCAGACUCGGUUACUCGGUUACUUAGCUGUUGGAAUUGGAAGUAACCGAGUGAAUGCCCAACAGACAUGGGAUUGUGCACCUUCCAAUUCCACCAAA
This 939-nucleotide long non-coding RNA is filed under the name Medicago truncatula (barrel medic). RNAcentral's name for it is "long non-coding RNA (MTRU_LNC001404)". Lineage: Eukaryota; Viridiplantae; Streptophyta; Magnoliopsida; Fabales; Fabaceae. The record is from RNAcentral.